RNAcentral lists this long non-coding RNA (3537 nucleotides) under Durio zibethinus. Its description in RNAcentral is "long non-coding RNA (DZIB_LNC000615)". Lineage: Eukaryota; Viridiplantae; Streptophyta; Magnoliopsida; Malvales; Malvaceae. The record is from RNAcentral.
UACGCUAUAAGAAAAAUCAACCGAGCCCUAAAAUAAAGUGCUGAGAAAAGAUUUCCUGUUUCGUCUCUGGCGGGCAAUUGGUAGAACCCUUUGAAAUCUGCGACACUCUCAUCUCCACUUCGGGUAUUGGGCGAAAAAAAAAAAGAUAAACACCUUUCUCAAGCGUUUUUUAAAAAAUAAAUUUUAUGUUUUCCACUAUUUUAUUGCUUAAUUACGUGUUUUUUGUGCGAUUAUUGUUUGGUUAGAAAAUUUGAAAUAAAACGUGAGAGUUUUUGUAAGAAAAAGCCCCAAGAAAGAAGCUUUUUUUUUUUUUUUGGUUAAGAGUAUCUUUGAUAUAGCUAAUCCCUUCGAUUUAUUAUGCCAAGGAAAACAUGAAAAUAUGAAUGGAUAUGUUUAAAUUGGUGAAUUACAUGGCUUAAAAUGUAAAUUGCUUUUUUUUUUUCUGAUGCCAUUGACGGAGAUUCAAUAUAAUACUUUUAUUUUUUUCCACGGAAUCGAAGCGUGAAAAAUAAUAAGUUUUUGAUAGAAUUUAUUCAAUUGGAAGAGUGAAAAGUCAAACAUUAUUGAUGGGAAGGCAUAAAGAGACAUGUUAUAGGAGGUUUUCCAAAGACUAAAUCUUUCUUGCUAGAAACAGCUGAUGUUGAUAAAAAUGAUUUUUAAAUAUGAUUGCCAUCUGUUUUGGUGCCAUCUUUAUAACAGAAUAGCAAAUUUCUUGGUUGAAAUUAGGGGCCACUGUGAAUUUUAAUAGAUCAGAGCAUUUUGAACCCUGAACUGUCAUUGUUUGAUCUCAAAUUUGAAAUCUGCCAAUUUGGUUCAGCUCUGCAGUCAAACUUUCCUUCAUUGGGAGGCGGGGGGGGGGGGGAUGCAAACUGAAAAGCUCAUGUUUUGAUUUCAUUUAUCAAUCAUUAGUAACUUACUAAUUUGCUGGUUUGAAUGGCCAAUCCGUUUUAUUAGCUGUAGGCUUGAUUUUAUAGUAAUCAGCAAGGAUUGCUUUUGUAUUAGUAUCCUGUCAACAAUUAAUCUUACUAUUCUUAAGUAACAGCUGAUAUGCCAUGUUCAUAUACCUAUUGCAUUUGACUAUGUAGAAAUUCUGAUAUUUUGGUCUAAUAUUCAUCCAUAUGACAUGAACAAGUUUAGUUAGUUAAUUGAAUUAUGUCUUUUACUGGAAUACCGGCAUUACAAUUGCCUUUGGAGCUUGUAUAACUGAAAAAGAUAUCAGCAUUCCUUUUUCUUGGAAGGGAAAAUGCUAAGCAGAAAAACUUAUACGAAGUUCUUUAUGUCUAGCUCCUUAAUUUUUAAAUAUAAACGAUUUAAAUUGCUUACUCAGUCAUAAGGCAACCUCAAAGUUGGAAAAGCAAGGAACUUAAUAUAAUGAAUUUUACUACUUAUUCUCAAUAGUUAACACAUAUAUGUGGAGUAUAUUUGUUGACUAGUCAGUAACUUUUUUUUUUUUUUUUGGUUUGGAGAUCCCAAUGGCCGGUAGAUGCUUUGAGCAUCAAUUAAUUGAGAGUUGGUCCGGAUUGGACGUCACAAGGAGAACAAGUUCUCUAGAGCUGUAAAUAAAUCGAACAUGAAUAAAUAGAUAAAAGUUUGUGACUUGUUUAUUUAUUUUUAGAGCUGUUCAAGCUCGAUUCGUGUGCUGUAGGAAAUUCAUUAAUUGUGUUCGAGCUUGGUUUAUUUAAAUAAUAAGAUAUUUGUGUUCAAUUCGUUUAAAUUAAAUGAGCUUAUUCGUAAACAUUAAAUGAAUAUGAAAAAAUGAAAAAAAUUUUGGUAAGAAAACGUAUUGAAUAAUCUCUGACAAAAAAUUAAAUGAGGUUAUUCAAAGUAUUUUUUUGGCUAAAAACACUUCGAAUAAUCUUUCAAAAAAAGGAAGAGAUUAUUUAAAGGCGUUUUUUGGUAAAAAAACGUAUUAAAUAACUUCAUUCAAUUUUUAGUAAGGGAUUAUUCAAUGUAUUUUUUGACCAAAAAUGUCUUGAAUAAUAAAAAAAAAGUAAUUAUUCAAGUCGUUUUUAGCCAAAAUGAGAUUAUCGAAGGUAUUUUUAGGCUUUUUUUGCCAAAAAAACAUCUUAAAUAAUACCUUACCAAACAUUGAAUACUCUUUUACAAAAAAUUGAAUGGGGUUAUCCAAGAGAUUUUUAGUCAAAAAAGUCUUGAAUAAUCUUCUCUAAUUUUUAUAAAGUUAUUAUUCAAAGCGUUUUGGCCAAAAAAUGCGUUAAAUAAUCUCUUACAAAAAAUUAAAUAGGGUUAUUCAAGGUAUUUUUUAACAAAAAUGCCUUAAAUAAUCUGUUUUAAUUUUUUUAAAGAUUAUUCAAGGUGUUUUUGGUCAAAAAAUAUCUUAAAUAAUAAUUUUUUGUAAAAGAUUAUUCAAUGUAUUUUUUGACAAAAAACACAUUGAAUAAUCUUUAAAAAAAAUGGGCAAUUAUAUAAGGUGUUUUUUGUUAAAAACAUUUUAAAUAAUACCUUUAUAAAAAUUAGAAGAGAUUAUUCAAAGUGUUUUUGGCAAAAAAUAAAUAUCUUGAAUAAUUUCUUCUCAUUUUUUUUUGAAUUAUUUAAGGAAUUUUUAGUCAGAAACACUUUCAAUAACUUAAAAAAAGACCUUGAAUAAUCUCUUCAUAAAAAUUGAAGAUGAUUAUUCAAGGUAUUUUUAGUCAAAAAUACUUUUAAAAACUCCAUUCAAUUUUUUGUAAAAAAUUAUUGAAUGAUUUUUUCAUGUCAAAUGCUAUAUAUAAACAAAAUUUUUUAUUAGCAAAAACUUACAACUGACUUGUAUUCAUUUUCAGACAUACUUUUUAAAAUGGUAACAACUAUUUCAUAAAUUUUUGGUCAGAUCCAAUUUAGAACGAACUUAAACAAGCUUGUUUGUGAACGUAAAUGAAUGAACAGACAAUUGUUCGUGUUUGAUUUGUUUAAUAAAUAAACAUAUAAAUGAUAUUUAAGAUCAUUUGUUAAGCUUAAUAAAUGAAUAUAAACGAACAAAACUUGAAUAUAUUUAUGAUCAAUUCAUCAAAAACUCUAUUUACUUACAUCCCUAAAGCACUCUCAAUGUUUGGUUUUUUCAUUUACAAGAUUCGUAACUAAAAUCUUACUUUAAAAAAAUUGAAUUCUUUAAUCAUUCGAUCAACAAGUGUUGCAUAAUUUGCGUAGUCUUUUAAGCUGUCUAGCUGGAAAUUUCGUUUCUAUGGUUUUUACUAGGCUGUCUAUAGGUAUUCCUUGCUGUUACUUUUAUCUUAUGGCUUGUCUUUGCAGUUGUUUUUCAUUUUUGCUUUACUUUUUAUUAACUGUAUAAUUUUCCAAGUUCCUAGUGUUUCUUACCCAUUUUUCCCCUUUCUCAUGCAGGUGGUGUUUGACCAUGAUGAUGAGAUUUAAAGUUCAGUAAUAUUUAUUUUCCUUGUGUUACUUGAAUUUGUAAAUCACUUUAUAUGCGUGUUCUCAAUUCACCAAAUAAUUUACUUUUAAUCCUUAUAUGUGUAAUUUACAUACAAUUUAAAUAAAUCUUUAAUCUUUUUGAAAUGGAUUUUGAAUGAAAAUGAUUUCAAC